UAGGGAAUCUUUGGCAAUGGACGAAAGUCUGACCGAGCAACGCCGCGUGAGUGAAGAAGGUUUUCGAAUCGUAAACUCUGUUGGUAGAGAAGAACGUUGGUGAGAGUGGAAAGCUCAUCAAGUGACGGUAACUACCCAGAAAGGGACGGCUAACUACGUGCCAC
Molecule: ribosomal RNA, 164 nt
Filed under: uncultured bacterium
Lineage: Bacteria
Description: partial 16S rRNA
Rfam family: Bacterial small subunit ribosomal RNA
Source: RNAcentral